GUUUGAUCCUGGCUCAGAGUGAACGCUGGCGGCGUGCUUAACACAUGCAAGUCGAACGAGAAGCACACUUCGGUGUGUAGACAGUGGCGAACGGGUGAGUAACGCGUGGGGAUUUGCCCUAGAGUGGGGGACAACCUUUGGAAACGAAGGCUAAUACCGCAUACGCUCUUCGGAGGAAAGGCUUCGGCCGCUCUUGGAUGAUCCCGCGUCUGAUUAGGUAGUUGGUGGGGUAACGGCUUACCAAGCCUACGA
This 252-nucleotide ribosomal RNA is filed under the name Symbiodinium sp. clade D. Its description in RNAcentral is "partial Bacterial small subunit ribosomal RNA". It matches the Rfam family "Bacterial small subunit ribosomal RNA", at positions 11 to 279 of the family's 1533-position model. Lineage: Eukaryota; Dinophyceae; Suessiales; Symbiodiniaceae. The record is from RNAcentral.